AACUUCAUUGCACUUCCAGUCACUCAAUUUCACAAAAAAGAAGUUCAAACCCUCAAAUAGAAAAUUCCAAAAAAUUUAGGCAACUUAAUGUCACGAUCCCUAUGAUAUAAACAAAAGCCUAUAGAUAACUAAGCCCCACACGAGCUUGUGUUAUGCAUUUUUUUCAUGAAAUUCUUACAUACCAUCAUAGCCAUAUAGUUGUACUGAUUACUGACUGGGAAGAAAGAAAAUAACAUGUUCUGCCAAGUUUCUAGUUGUUCCAGCCAGUAAACUCAACUUUGGCGAGUAAAUUAAAAUAAUGUAUUUGUGCUACACAAGCAACAAUACAAGCCCUAACACCUGCAUGAAGCAAAUCAAAGAAAUUGUGUGUGUGUGUGUGUGUG
RNAcentral lists this unclassified non-coding RNA (383 nucleotides) under Hevea brasiliensis (rubber tree). Lineage: Eukaryota; Viridiplantae; Streptophyta; Magnoliopsida; Malpighiales; Euphorbiaceae. The record is from RNAcentral.